UCCGUAGGUGAACCUGCGGAAGGAUCAUUACCGAGUUCUCGGGCUUCGGCUCGAAUCUCCCACCCUUUGUGAACAUACCUCUGUUGCUUUGGCGGCUCUUUGCCGCGAGGAGGCCCUCGCGGGCCCCCCCGCGCGCUUUCCGCCAGAGGACCUUCAAACUCCAGUCAGUAAACGUCGACGUCUGAUAAACAAGUUAAUAAACUAAAACUUUCAACAACGGAUCUCUUGGUUCUGGCAUCGAUGAAGAACGCAGCGAAAUGCGAUAAGUAAUGUGAAUUGCAGAAUUCAGUGAAUCAUCGAAUCUUUGAACGCACAUUGCGCCCCUUGGCAUUCCGAGGGGCAUGCCUGUUCGAGCGUCAUUACAACCCUCAAGCUCUGCUUGGUAUUGGGCGCCGUCCUCUCUGCGGACGCGCCUUAAAGACCUCGGCGGUGGCUGUUCAGCCCUCAAGCGUAGUAGAAUACACCUCGCUUUGGAGCGGUUGGCGUCGCCCGCCGGACGAACCUUCUGAACUUUUCUCAAGGUUGACCUCGGAUCAGGUAGGGAUACCCGCUGAACUUAAGCAUAUCAAUAAGCGGAGGA
This 580-nucleotide ribosomal RNA is filed under the name Diplodia sapinea. Its description in RNAcentral is "eukaryotic LSU rRNA". The stretch from base 206 to 359 matches the Rfam family "5.8S ribosomal RNA". RNAcentral also lists the same sequence under 1 other name. Lineage: Eukaryota; Fungi; Ascomycota; Dothideomycetes; Botryosphaeriales; Botryosphaeriaceae. The record is from RNAcentral.